CCUACGGGACGCAGCAGUGGGGAAUAUUGGGCAAUGGGCGCAAGCCUGACCCAGCAACGCCGCGUGAAGGAAGAAGGCUUUCGGGUUGUAAACUUCUUUUCUGAGGGACGAAGAAAGUGACAGUACCUCAGGAGGAAGCUCCGGCUAACUAUGUGCCAGCAGCCGCGGUAAUACAUAGGGAGCGAGCGUUAUCCGGAUUUAUUGGGUGUAAAGGGUGCGUAGACGGGAAAUUAAGUUAGUUGUGAAAUCCCUCGGCUUAACUGAGGAACUGCAACUAAAACUGAUUUUCUUGAGUACUGGAGAGG
This 305-nucleotide ribosomal RNA is filed under the name uncultured bacterium. RNAcentral's name for it is "bacterial SSU rRNA". It matches the Rfam family "Bacterial small subunit ribosomal RNA", at positions 338 to 657 of the family's 1533-position model. The record is from RNAcentral.